GACGUAGGGGACAAGCGUUAUCCGGAUUUACUGGGCGUAAAGCGCCCGUAGGCGGCUUUCUAAGUUGGACGUGAAAGCUCCCGGCUUAACUGGGAGAGGCCGUUCAAAACUGGAAAGCUAGAGUGAGGAAGAGGAGAGCAGAAUUCCCGGUGUAGUGGUGGAAUGCGUAGAGAUCGGGAGGAAUGCCAGUGGCGAAAGCGGCUCUCUGGUCCUAAACUGACGCUGAGGGGCGAAAGCGUGGGGAGCGAACGGG
RNAcentral lists this ribosomal RNA (253 nucleotides) under uncultured bacterium. RNAcentral describes it as "partial 16S ribosomal RNA". It matches the Rfam family "Bacterial small subunit ribosomal RNA", at positions 524 to 776 of the family's 1533-position model. The record is from RNAcentral.